RNAcentral lists this ribosomal RNA (163 nucleotides) under uncultured bacterium. RNAcentral's name for it is "partial 16S rRNA". It matches the Rfam family "Bacterial small subunit ribosomal RNA", at positions 355 to 511 of the family's 1533-position model. The record is from RNAcentral.
UAGGGAAUCUUCCACAAUGGACGAAAGUCUGAUGGAGCAACGCCGCGUGAGUGAAGAAGGUUUUCGGAUCGUAAAGCUCUGUUGUUGGUGAAGAAGGAUAGAGGCAGUAACUGGUCUUUAUUUGACGUAAUCAACCAGAAAGUCACGGCUAACUACGUGCCAA